Molecule: long non-coding RNA, 134 nt
Organism: Contarinia nasturtii (swede midge)
Lineage: Eukaryota; Metazoa; Arthropoda; Insecta; Diptera; Cecidomyiidae
Exons: 3
Source: RefSeq, a predicted model, not a curated record
CGUAUACGUAACCACAGCUGUCAUAAUAUAUACGUAACUUCGUAUUUUCACAUUGUGGAGAAUUUUUUCUGUUUCAUUAAUAAUGAAUCAUUAUUUUCUGUUCCCAUAGAAUGGUAUGGCGCUCAUUAGCGAGA